AAUAUUGGACAAUGGGCGAAAGCCUGAUCCAGCAAUGCCGCGUGAGUGAUGAAGGACUNAGGGUUNUNAAGCUCUCUUACCAGGGNGGAUAAUGACAGUACCUGGAGAAUAAGUUCCGGCUAACCCCGUGCCACCAGCCGCGGUAAUACGGAGGGAGCUAGCGUUGUUCGGGAAUACUGGGCGUAAAGCGCACGUAGGCGGCAUCGUAAGUCAGGGGUGAAAUACCGGGGCUCAACCCCGGAACUGCCCUUGAAACUGCAGUGCUAGAAUCUUGGAGAGACGAGUGGAAUUCCGAGUGUAGAGGUGAAAUUCGUGGAUAUUCGGAAGAACACCAGUGGCGAAGGCGACUCGCUGGACAAGUAUUGACGCUGAGGUGCGAAAGCGUGGGGAGCAAAC
This 396-nucleotide ribosomal RNA is filed under the name uncultured bacterium. RNAcentral describes it as "partial 16S ribosomal RNA". It matches the Rfam family "Bacterial small subunit ribosomal RNA", at positions 360 to 773 of the family's 1533-position model. The record is from RNAcentral.